Molecule: ribosomal RNA, 620 nt
Filed under: uncultured bacterium
Lineage: Bacteria
Description: bacterial SSU rRNA
Rfam family: Bacterial small subunit ribosomal RNA
Source: RNAcentral
GGGUGAGUAACGCGUAGGCAACCUACCCUUUAGACGGGGACAACAUUCCGAAAGGAGUGCUAAUACCGGAUGUGAUCAUCUUGCCGCAUGGCAGGAUGAAGAAAGAUGGCCUCUACAAGUAAGCUAUCGCUAAAGGAUGGGCCUGCGUCUGAUUAGCUAGUUGGUAGUGUAACGGACUACCAAGGCGAUGAUCAGUAGCCGGUCUGAGAGGAUGAACGGCCACAUUGGGACUGAGACACGGCCCAAACUCCUACGGGAGGCAGCAGUGGGGAAUCUUCCGCAAUGGACGAAAGUCUGACGGAGCAACGCCGCGUGAGUGAUGAAGGAUUUCGGUCUGUAAAGCUCUGUUGUUUAUGACGAACGUGCAGUGUGUGAACAAUGCAUUGCAAUGACGGUAGUAAACGAGGAAGCCACGGCUAACUACGUGCCAGCAGCCGCGGUAAUACGUAGGUGGCGAGCGUUGUCCGGAAUUAUUGGGCGUAAAGAGCAUGUAGGCGGCUUAAUAAGUCGAGCGUGAAAAUGCGGGGCUCAACCCCGUAUGGCGCUGGAAACUGUUAGGCUUGAGUGCAGGAGAGGAAAGGGGAAUUCCCAGUGUAGCGGUGAAAUGCGUAGAUAUUGGG